Molecule: long non-coding RNA, 595 nt
Filed under: Capra hircus (goat)
Lineage: Eukaryota; Metazoa; Chordata; Mammalia; Artiodactyla; Bovidae
Description: lncRNA (ENSCHIG00000000558.1)
Source: RNAcentral
GCCCGGGGCUGAGGUCUGGCUCACGGGUCUCGCGUUCCGUGCAGCUUCAGAUCGCAGCGCGCUCCCUGACGCACCGACGGGGCAGCCAUGAGCACGUGGGUAUUACGAUUCAAAAGGGAAACAGACGGCAAAGUGGGCGGGCACGCUCCAGGGGACUGCAGGGUCAGACUGGGUGCUCUGCAGGUCGGACUGCACGGUCUAGGGCUUUCGUUUCCAGGGAGGAAAAACUGCUGCCCGGCUGGGUGAGCACGCAGAGAGCUGUGGGGCUUCCCUGGAGGCUCAGACAGUAAAGAAUCCGCCUGCAGUGCGGGAGACCCGGGCUAGAUCCCUGGGUCGGGAAGAGCCCCUGGAGAAGGAAAUGGCAACCCACGCCAGUGUCCUUGCCUGGAGAAUCCUGUGGACAGAGGAGCCUGGCGGGCUACAGUCCGUGGGGUUGCAAAGAGCUGCACACGACUGACCACGGAGCUGCCUCGCAGCAUUUCUAUGUGGAGGAAAACGCAGGCGGGCGUUCUCGGAACAGCGGGACCACCGCCCUAUGGUGAUGGACAGCAAGGAGCGCGCGGCCUCAUGGUCCGAUUCAGUGCGAGGAGAGUGG